CAAAAGUUGUGGCCUGUCCGUCAGGAGUUAGCGACAAGGAGGGCCGCGGCCUUGGGUUCAGUGGCGGGGCGGAAGCGGCCAGUUCAGGGCCUCAGGGGACAGUGGGGGAAAUGGCAGAGGAGACUCCAGGGGGUGGGGAUGCCAAUGCCAGGACGAGGAGGGUUAAAGAGGAGCCUAGGUCUGGGGGGAGCUGUGGUGGGGACAGUUGCCCUGAGGGUUCCCGCGGUGACCCCGGGGAGGACGGCCCUUCAGCCGCUGCCUUCUGGGGAAGGGGAACUUGACCUCUGGGAGGGCGCUGCUCUGCGUGGCCCCCGGGGCCCCAGCGCCUUGGUUUGUGUGGCAGGAGGAAGGCGGGUAGAAGCCAGGGGAGACGGGAUCUCGCCGCUCUUCUGUGGAGGAAGCAGCAUUGGGCAGUUGAUGCCCCGGGAAUGAGGAGGAGGAAGGAAGGCAGUGGGGUGCAGGGCUGCAGGUGGGCUGCUGGCAUGGCAGACCUUGAACUUGCCAAUGCCAGCAGCCACCCCCCCCCCCCUUUUUUUUCAGAGGGUUGCGAACCCGCGAGGGGAUGAGGCCUGGUCUUGUGGAAACUGAACUUAGCUUCGCGGGCCGACAGCUCUGGCCUAGGGUAGUGUGUAAUGUUGGUUCGGCUUGGGACAGAGUCCAGGCCAUGCCCAGCCUGGUGGAACCCAGGUCUGGGUGUGAGGCCAGACCCCUCAUUGGAGGGGAGGGUGGUCUCAAGAGUGAUUGAGGAGGUAAGGUGCCACCUAAGCGUUAUUGAUGUGGUGCCGCAUGUGACAGGCUGGGGAUUGCCGAGGCAGGAUGUUGGUGUGUCUGUGGACAAAAUUGACCCACGCUUUAUUUUCCAGGUGCCAGUGUUCCCAUUUGGACUUUUCUCUCUAGCUUCGGUGCUAACUUCUGUGAGCUCACUCUGCCCCUCCUCCUCCCUUUAGCUUUCUCAAGGUUAUCCAUUCACUUAAAGCAUUGCUUCUGGUAACCUGGUAAGCCUGGGAACGUUGCAGAAGGCCCCGAACAACUUGGUUGGUAAUCGUGAAGGAGGGAAGGCCCUCCUUGCUGAGACCCAGGGUGGGGUGGGGUGGUGUUGCUUGCCUGCGGAGAGGGUGGGGAUCGAAUGUAUACCUUGGGCGGGCCUGCAGCAGUGGCCCCCGCUGACGGUUACCAAAUGCCUCAUGGACCAUGGUUUGUUACUGUAGUGUUCAUCGUGGUGAUCAGAUGGCACCAGGAGAAUUGGAGCCCUUGGCCAGUGUGAGUCGUAGCAGUGCAGGAGGGGAGACCCUGAAGGAGAGAUCCCGCCUAAGUGGAUGUCUGCAGAUUGAAUUUCCAGAGUCUUAAGAGGUGGAAGUUCUCCUGUGUCCCGUUUCCAGGCCUUGCUCAGGAAGCCCUAUAUUCAGGAGGCCAUUUAAGGUUUUCAGAUGAGCUUAUGAGGGGGCAGUCCUUCAAGGUCCAAAGCAGAUGUGUCCGGCCACCCGCAGAUGUGUUUGAUUGAUCCAGGAGCAUCAACUUCCAGGCUCAUGAAUGCCAGCAGACACCCCUCCUUUUUUCUGAGGUGGAGGUUUUCAGAUGCUGCAUCUUCUAAAUUGAGCCCCCAGUCAUAACUAGUUCUGGGCUACGAAAUUUGAGCUUCAAGAAGAAUCUUAAAAGCUGUAGGACAUUCUAACAUGCCUCAACGCAGAGUGAUGCCUUGUAGGUGAAUCUUGCAGAUGGAGCCCAGUGACCCUCUCACCUACCCUGCUUCUCGCCUGCCUACCUGCCCUGCCCGCCUGUGCAUUGUUUGGAGGAAUUAGUGUUCUAGUCUAACCUGUAUUUUGGGAACGUGUUCACAUUUGAAAUGCUUUAGGCAAUACUUAUGCAUACUGGCAAAUUGGGGGAGGGGAAUCGUGUUUUGCUGCUACAGUCUUGGGUAUAAGUUGGUUGUGGCCAAAUUGUUAGAAAUGACAGGUCUAUUUUGGGCAUUCCAAUUGCAUUGCAGAUAAUAAGCAAAGGGAAUGGUUGGGGUACUACCAGUGAUCUUUAGUUCUAUGUAUUUUGUAAUGUGAAUUUAAUUUCUAGGUAAUCUUAAUGGAGAACUCCGAGGUGAGGGUUGGGCUGCCAUUGGUGCUGGGAGGGGUGGGGGUGAGGAAAGGGAGAGGGUUGGUUUGGUUAGCUGUGCUGCAGAGGGUGGGGGUGGUAGGACAUGUGGAUUGAAGGGAAUUCUUGCGAAAAGGUCAAGUAGAGCUCUGGGCAUUUGAAUGUAAUAGACAACUGGGCAAAGAAAAGUAGUUAAUGCUAGUUGUCUCUUGGAAGCAUAAAAAUUGCUUAGAAACUUAAGUCCUUUGGAAAUCUGCUAAAUGCAGGUAAAGAAGCAAAGUUGUUUUGCUGUAAAGUAGGGAAGACUGAAAAAAAUGUAACCGAACAGGAAUGCCAGUCAUUAAAGGCGGGGUGCAGAAAUUCCCAUCAGCUGAGUAAUAGCCUUCACUGCUUCGUUAGGUUCUUCAGUGGUUUAUGUGAAGGUGUGCAGUACUGGGGAGCAGCUAGAGGUCUUAGGGAAAGACUUCACAAUUGGGUAUUUAAAGUAUUUAAAACAAAAAAAUAUUUAAAACAGUUCAAAUUUUUGGUGUGCACUUGAGAUUAGAUGUACUUGUGGGUCUGUAACAUUUCUAUUUACUCAAGAUUUUGUGAUUGAAAAUUCUGAACAACGUGAAAAUGCAAUGACUUUUAAAGGAAUCUUACACAUCUCAUCUUUGGUCUGUAUUGGCAGCAGUAAAAAAAAGUCUUGCUAUUCUUGUAAUGGUUUCUGUAAAAUUACUGUAAUAUUUGGUAGCAAACCAUGUGCCCUUGUGAUGGUUGGAGUUAAUUAUAUAUUGUGCCUUUUAAAUUGAUUCAGUGUUUGAGGGGCAACUCAAUUUGGGGAAUUAGCAAAGUGGAGGGGGACCUGUACUCAGAUGUGGUCUGUUAAAAAUUCAGAGAAAAACCUGAAAACCAUUUAUGAUGACUUUUAUUUCCGAGAUGCAUCUAUUGAAUUGGUAAAGUAAUACUGGUAACUUUUUUUUUUUUAAUAAUGUUUAUCAUUGCAGUGCUGCAUUUUUUUUAAGUUUUUAUUUAUUCAUGAGAGACAGAGAGAGGGGGGUGGGCAGAGGGAGAAGCAGGCUCCAUGCAGGGAGCCCAACCUGGGACUCCGUCCAGGGUCCCUAGGAUCAAACGCCGGGCUGCAGGCGGCGCCAAACCGCUGCGCCAUUGGGGCUGCCCCAAUACUGGUAGCUUUUAAUUCUGUGCCUCUUCCCUUAAAUUUAAUUUUAAAAUCCCCAAUACUUGUUGCCUCUGGGAUUUGUCUUCUGGGUUAUUUUUAAUGUUUAAAAACAUGUUGGUAUUGUCCAGUUUUUAAUCAGUGACUUAGUAUGAUGUAAUUGCUGUUACACGAAUUUAAAGAGUAGGAGUCCUGCAUGUAUGGGGCAAUGUGUUUGGGUGUGCUGUUGUGAAAUUGAAGCUAUGGUUAAAGUAUUUGUGUUGCUCUGUGGUAAGAACUAGCCCUGUUGCAUCAUGUACAUUACUAAUCAUUUUUCCUCCCUCUUUACAGCACAAAUAAAGGCUUGAGUUCUAAACUCAUAAUUGUUGUAUUGCUAUGUUAUGAUUUCUGACUUUUAUUUUUUGUGUAAAUGAGGUGUUCUUGAUAAUGCAAUUGGUUACAUUACUGUAGAUUUAGACUGAGAUUUGCUCUUCAGUAGUUUUAAAUGAUUGAGGUCGUUUAAUGGAGCUUGGUGAUCUUAAAUAGAACUGGUAGGGCCUGAAUGGCCUGCAGCCUGGUGGAUGGGAAUGGGGGCUCUCCUCCCUGUAGUGUCUAAUGGUUGUGCAAAAUAUGAUACUGAAACCAUCCAGCUGAGGAAGGUCAGUGUCAAGGUACUGGGGGAGUACUUUGUAAUAUCCUUGAACUUUAACUGGUUAGGUUUCCAAACCGUACUGUCGAAAAGGGGGCGUAUCAUUCUCUUUGCUUAGAGGAAACCGUCUAAAGCAUACAGCACAUGUAAUCUGUUUUCCGUAUUUGUGGUUUUGAGGAGGCUGGAGUGUAUCUGGGAUUUGGGUCUAACCACAUAAUUCUCUCCAGUACUAAAGAGUUUGGCUUUAUUGGGUGACCAAGAGUUUGGGCUCAGGUGUCUCUGCCGCGAGAACCAGGUCAAGGUUAUGCAGAGGGCAUGAAUCCCGUUUGCCUCAUGGCUCUUAAGUUGAUCAUGUAUCCUGGGUGGGGAUGUGGCAGUGGCUUCAUCCUGGGAGAGAAGCUCUGCUGCUGCUGCUCAUAGGCGUUUACUCUUCAGCCCUACAGGAGACAAACUGGGCUCAGAAACUGCUGCCAGCCUCUUAAGGCUUUUGUUUUCAAGGGAGCUGAAAGGGAAGCUUGUCUCUGAAGGAAAGGUUAAGAUGUGGAAUGGGGAUGGAUGAGUGCCUUGACCUGAACAAGGGUGUGGGAGAGCCUGGCCUAAGGAAUUCCUUCAAGAGCAUAGCUGUGGGGCCUCAGGAGCCUUUAAUAUCUGCUACUGAAAAACUGGUGCCAGGCAGGAGGAGGUGGCCGGUUGGGGGGGGGGGGGAGGUCAUGGAUCUGCUGUGAGUGGGUGCCACUGCUUGCUCCCCCAGAACAAUUCAGACUUUCCUACGUAGUCCUUCUCUACUUUUUUUACCCAAGCCUUCCAUCCGCCCUGCCCUUUCCAAACUUAUUUUUUAUAUGGUGAUUAUAAAACUUACUUCCAGUCUUAAGGGUAACUGCUAUAAAUGUCUCUCUGAAUGUCACUGUUUCCUAACAACUAUGUUGGGCUGAUAAAGAAUUUCCAUGAGGGUGUAAUGUUUGGUGUGGGCUGAGAGCAGGCAGCUGGGGCUGAGCCCAUGCCUCCUAGCCUCCACCCAAUCCAAGGGCUCCUGAGAUGGUGAAAGAGAUUCCUACCUGUUCUGCACCUGCGCCCAAGUGGGGUGGGUUGCAGGUGUUGAUGGCAGUGUUGGUGAUUUUUGCUAAUCAGUUUGCAGUCACCCUUCUCUGAACUCCCACAGGUAGUGGAUGAUACAAUGAAAUCCAUUAAGUAGAAAAUGGUGAUGUGCAAAUUAAAGGAUUGGGGCAUAAGGACAGCAAAAUGCGCAUUUGGAAGUCCCAUUCAAAAGGAAAAAUAGGGCAGCCCAGGUGGCUCACCGGUUUAGUGCCACUUUUGGCCUGGGGCGUGAUCCUGGAAACCUGGGAUGAGGGUCCCACACCAGGCUCCCUACAUGGAACCUGCUUCUGCCUCUGCCUCUGUCUCUGUGUCUCAUGAAUAAGUAAAAUCUUAAAAAAAAAGAAAGAAAGAAAAAAUAGCCUGAGAGUGAGUAUGGGUGGAGGCUCCUCUAGGAGCCCAGGUUGGACCUAGAACUGCAGAAGUGGCUGGCCCUACAAAAGGCAUCGGACAGUAACGCCCUCCUCCCCCACCAUCAGCUGCCCUUGGUUUGUCUCAUUGACCCUGAACAAUCGCCUUUUAUGCUGAACCCAGCAUCUCUGUGGCUGUCCCUGGAAGAAAUGUUAACUUCUGGUCUUGUACAAUACUUUUAUUGUGUGGUGCUGAUAUUAAAUGAAAUGCGAAACAGGCUUACAGAUUCUUGUAUGUAUUAAGCAUUCGUAUGUAACAAAAAUACGCUGAUGCAGCCUGGAAGUGGCAAGAGGAAGGUAGCAAAACAAUUAGAAAUAAAGCCAUGAAGGUGUAUGUACCCAGGAGUAUGGCCUUGACCUUGCUCUGGUGGGUGUCCCCUGUGGACCCCUCAGCUCUGUACCACCUUCCUUCUCUUUAAUUCUUAACUGAGUUCUGCUGUAUAAAGGUUUAUUGUGGGGUUUACAAGUAAAAUUGGGAAAAACCAAAAUCCUCUGUUAAUAAUUGUUAUUGACAUUUGCGUCUAGAGUUUUUCUUCCUCCUAUGCAUUGAAUAUGCUUUUUUUUUUUUUUAAAUACACUUAAUGUAUAAUGAAACUCUUCCUGUUUGAAGAGCGUUUGGUGGUGACUGUAAUCUAUUGUAUGGCUGUGUCGAUUGAAACAAUCUCAUUUACAUGGCAUAUUUUCCAGGGUUGUUUUUUUCUCUCUUGGGAAGUUGUGAUGACCUGCCCCAAAGCGCACACUUUAUCACAUCUGAUAUGUUUUCUUUGGGAUAUAUUAAUAUAUGAAAUGCCUAUGUCAAACUUAAGACUUUAGGUUCAUUAAUGUGUUAAAUAGCCCUCCCUGGGUGGUAUUUUCUAAAUUAGUUUUCUCACAAUUGAUGUAAACCUGGCUCUGUUUCCCUUCUCCACAGAACAAUCUUGCCAUGUUAAAAACCUUAGAUCCUUGGGUGGAUCCUUGCUGCUUUAUUUACUAGGGCUAUGAGCGUUGCUUUGCUGCUACUAAGACUAAACAUCUGUGUGGAUUGGUCAUUUGUAGUGGUGUGUGUGCAUGCGCGUGCGUGUGCACGCUUCAACUUCCUAUUUUGUGAAAGCACAUAUGAAGGAUAUUAAUAAUCUGAUGCAAAAAAAACUGAUGCAAAUAUUUUUCCUGGUUUCUAGAUUGCCUUUCAUUUUGUUUAUUGCUUUGGACAUACAAAAGUGACAUUGUUCUGAGGUCGUCACUCUUCAGUUUCUAUACUUCGUUGUACUUAGAUUUCUCCCAUCUCAAAGGUAUAUAAAUAUUAAUCUAUAUUAUGACACUUAUGGUUUGAUUUUUUUUUUUUUUACACUUAAACAUAUACCACAGCUGGUGCUUAUUGUGCCUCCUGUGGGCAGGGAGUGGGAGCUAAUGCCCCCUCAGAGCCCCCAGAGCUUGCUCCCCUCCUGGUUCUGGCCCCCCUGGGGCUCCACAAUGGAGUGACAGUCCUGUCAGCCAUGAGGAUUGUUGUCCCAAUGGGACAGUUCACUAGAGAAGACCUUGGGGACAGGCAGGUAUUGUCCCUACCAGAGUCCUGGUUGUCGCUCCUCCAUGACUCCCCAUUCCACCAUCCUGUUUUGGACAUAGCAACCCCCCCACGAGAGAGAGCAUCAAAAGCAGGUACACAAAGAUGGAUCUGGGUUCUACCAGUGUGGUUCCUGGCAGCUUUAUUUGAAUUUGAAUCAGAACUACCUAGCCCCACCCACCAGGCCUGCUUUCCCUCAUCUGUGAGAUGGCAUAAAGGUAUGUGUGUGUUGGGCACUAGCGUUUACAGUGCUACCUUCCUUUAUUGCUGGGCCUCAGGUCCAACCCCUUGGUCCUGGUUCCCUCUCUUGCCCCUUAGGCACCUGCUUCCCUUGCUCUGAGCCUUUUAUGUAAUGACAAUCAGUGUGUAUAUUCUGGUCUUGUUCUGGUUUUGCAUUUAAUUUUGUUUCCAUCCACAUCUCCCUGUAUCAGCAGAGUCCACAAACACUUUGGAAAUCAGUUUUUUUCGGGGUAGUUAAUUCUACAGGAAUGGCAUGGAUGGGCUUCUAGAAGUCUGAAUGCUCAGAAACUGUAUAUUUUUCUGUGAAAAGCAUAAACUUGCCAAAGAGCUCCAGGACCUCAAAAAAGAUCAAACAACUGCAUUAUUUUAUCCCAAAGUACUUAUAGUAUAAGAUAUUUAGUCAAGUCUCUUAAGUUGUAAGCAGUGUUUUGACUAUUUUCGGUCACGCCUCUGUGAGCAUCUCUUUGAAUUUGGCGACUGCAUUAUAUUCCCUGGAGGGGUGUUGCUUGGUCAGUGAGCAUGCAUGGUUUUACAACUUGUAUCAGAGACUCAGAUACUCUCUGGAAAGCUUACAUUUCCUCUUGAGUCUAUCCAUUUCCCUACAUAGUUGCUAAUACCAGAUUUUUUCAAUUUUUAUUGUAACUUUUUAAAAAUGUAAAAUACAUGUAAAAUGUAUCUUCUUAAUCAUUUUUAGUGCACAGUUCAGUAGAGUUCAGUGUUGUGCAACCAAGCUCCAGAAGUUUUUCAUCUUGCAAAACUGAAAUUACAUACCCAGAAAACUCCCCAUUCCCUUAUCCCUUUAGCCCAUGGUAACCGUUAUUGUAUUUUUCUGUUUCUAUGAGUUUGAGGUACCUCAUGUUGAGUAGAAUCCUAAAGCAUUUGCCUUUUUGUGACUGGCUUAUUUUCCUUGGCAUUAGAUCCUCUGGGUUUGUGUUACAGCAUGUGUCAAAAUUUUCAUCCUCCUUAAAAGUUGAAACAAGUGCACCUGGCUGGCGCAGUCAGUACAACAUGUAACUCUUGAUUUCGGUGUCCUGAGUUUGAGCCCCAUCUUGGGUGUAGAGAUCAAGUAAGUGAGUGGAAACAUUCCAUGUUUGUAUGUAACAUUUUAUUUAUCAUCUGUCUGUGAUAAAUGGAUGGCUUCCACCUUUUGGUUAUUAUGAAUAAUGUUGCUAUGAGAGGUGUACAAAAGCCUUUUGAAACCCUGUUUUCAUUUCUUUUGGAGAUACACCCAGAAGUGGGAUUGCUGGAUUAUAUGUAUUUCUAUUUUUAAUUUUUUUGAGGAGCCUCACACUUUUCCAAUAGCAGCUGUGCCACUCUAGAGCCUCAGCAGUUUGCAAGAAUUCCAGUUUUUGAGGAUGCCUGGGUGGCUCAGUGAUUGAGUAUCUGCCUUUGGCUCAAGGCAUGAUCCAGGUCUGGGGAUUGAGUCCCACAUCGGGCUCCUUGCGAGGAACAUGCUUCUCCCUCUGUCUCUGCCUCUCUCUGUGUAUCUCUCACGAAUGAAUAUUAAAUAAAUCUCUUUCAAACAUUUCAGUUUUCCAUAUGAUCACCAACACUUGUUCUCUGUUGUUUGUUUGAAAUAGCAGCCAUCCAACUGGGUGUGAAGUGGCAUCUCAUUGUGGUUUUGAUUUGCAUUAACAUAAUAGUGAUGUUAAGAAGCAUCUUUCCCUAGAAUUGCUGGCCAUUUGUGUCUUGUUUGGAGAAAUAGCUUUUCAAGUCCUUUAUUCGUUUUUAAAACUGGGUUAUUUUUUAUUGCUAUUUGUAGUUCUUCAAAUAUUUUAGAUAUUAACCAUUUAUCAGAUCUGUGAUUUACAAAUAUUUUCUCCCAUUGUAUAGGUUGCCUGUUCAGUCUGUUCAUGGUGUCCUUUGAUGCCCAGAAGUUUUUAAUUCUUGUAGUCCAGGUCAGCUUUUUUUUUUUUUUUUUUAAACCUUUAUUACUGUGCUUUUGGUGUCCUGUCCAAGAAAUCCUUGCCAACUCCAAUGUUCAUGAAGUAUUUGUUGCUACUUUUAAAAGUCCUUUGGUAAUCUUAAUCCGUGUUUUUGAAUUUAUUGGUUAGUCUUUUUUGCCACUUGAUUUACCAUCUGCCUCUUCCUCUGACCACUUACCAUAUGAAAUUCCAUAUUGGUUUUCAUAAUGAUCAUAUACUCUUCACUUUGGAAGAUCAGCUUUUGCCAGUUAUGAUUGUCGAAUUAACUGUUUUUUUUCCUUUUAUUGUUGGUGCAAAAAGUAUCUGUUACAUGAGGACUUUUUAAAACAUUUCGUCUACCAAGUCCAGCGGUAACUACUACUAAGUCUGUUAGGUUUGCUUCUGAUUUACUUUUUCUUUGGUAUCUAAACUCGUCACCAUUUAAGGAGUUAUGAAUCCACCUUAGGAAUGGGUUUAAAUUAUACUUACAACAUUGAAAUGUCAAACUUUUAUUGAGGAACCCCUCUCUUUACUUUGCUCCAGGUCAGUGUUAGUGUCUGAGGAUCAUGUCCCUAAAUCGCUAGAGUUUUUAGCCUCUAGUUUUUGUUGUUUCUAAUCAAAUACAGCAAAUUUUAAUGACUGUCACUGCUUAUUAUGUUUUAAAACCUAAUAAGUGGAGGCUCUGCUACUUCUUAAAGUGCAAAUAUUCACUCCCUGUUGGAACUGAAGUACACAAAACUAGGUUAAUCUUUGGUUGAUGACAUAACAUGGCUCUCUUAUUUGCUUCCUUGAUGUUUUUAAUAAUGUGGUAAGCAUUUCUGAAUCUUCUGUAUAGUAUGAAAACUAGGGCUUUAGGCAGUAGCUUCCUCUACCCAUGUGGUCGUCUUCCCUGCUCUCCCUCUGUUCCCACCACCACCACCCCCAUCUCCCUGCCUCACUCUAGGCCAGCAUAUCUCAUCCUGAAUACAGGGUUUACCAUUACUUGCUUUCUUUUCAUAGAACUAAAAAAAAAAGAAAGAAAAAUCUAAGUGUGUUUUUUAAGGAAGCUGCAGGCAUUCACAGCCCCUCUGGGACAGUACAGCAGAGCAGCUCUACCUCUCUGUGCUAUCUGGGUCUGGGACUCUCUGUUUAGCACAAAGCAAGAAUGGCCUUAACAAGACUCAGUCUACUUCUGCUGUUCUUUCCCCUAAGCAGGUUGAAAAACAAACUAUUCUAGGAUAGCAGUUGUGACAUUUGCAGAAAGCAGCAUUUAAUUAUAUUGUUUGUUUGUCUGGUCUGUUGAAAUCUCAUUGGGCUUCUGUCUAUAGGCAUUUCUAAUCCUAAGUGGAAAAGGAGUGCGCUUCAGUGGCGCACAGUCCAUUCCCUCUCCUGCUGUCCCGCUCAGCACCAGCUUGGCUGAUUUAAGUACCUGCUGCCUCUCAGACUCCACCAAGUGCCAAGAGCACAGGUGUGAACCCGGCUCUGUCUCUUACUCACCUAAUAGCGUCACAGAACGCUUAACAUUGGGAACCCUGAGAUUGGUUCUGACACCUCUGUUGAUGUAAUAGCUGUGUGACCAGCUGUCUGGGUGUCAGAGCAAGGCCCUGCCUCUGCCCUAUGCUGACCUGACAGCAAGGCUCUGCUAGUUUUUUUCUAGUUCAUUUAAAGGUGUAAAAAUGUUCAAAGUGUAAUAGCUGCAGAUGUUAAAAAUUGCCUCGGUUCCUAUAGAGGCAACUAUUGUGGCCAGUUGCUGGAGUUUUUCUGGAGAAUCCUGUGUAUAUAUUUCACUGUGGAGGUCCUGGUACACCACACACCCCGUCAUGCACUUUGAAUUGUUAAGUUAAUGGUACAUCAAGGUGCUCACUGCAUCUUUUUUUUAUGGUCUCCCUUGGGCUUUUCCACAUCUGUGUCAUAGUCCAUGUUUGAAUUACUCAUUUCCCUUUUGGGGAACAAUUUGUUUCUAGCAGCCUUUAUUGUAUAGGAGGCUAUACUGAAUAUCCGCCUACAUGGUUCUUUGUAUGUGAGAAGUGACAAUAGUAUUUCACUGUAGUUUUGACUUCUUUUGGGCUGUGGGCUUAUGGAUUUUCAAAGAGCUCUUUAUAUACUGAAGAAAUUAACCCUUUGUGAUUUGUGCUACAAAUACUUUCCUGUUAUUGAUCUUGAUUGUACAUUUCAUGCUAAAAUUUUGCUGGUCAGGAUUUUAACCUUACUUAUUUUUUAUCACUGUUUUCUUUUAUGGCUUCCGGGUUUUAAGACUCAAGUUGGAACGUACCCCCCUUAAAGAUGGGCACACCUCAACCUUCCCCAACCCACCAGCAGCACAGGUUCCCCCAGCCCAGCCCUUGGCUGUUUUGGGUUUUAUCUUUGCUAAUAGGAAAAUCCAGCUUCCCUGUGUUUCAGUUUGCAAACCUUUUGAUCCUGUGAAGCUGAAUGAACACUUUGUUGGCUGAUGUGUGUGUUGCUUUGUGUUUCACUUACAUUUUCACUUCCAGAGAAUUCUUUACCCUUUGCCCUUGUAUACUGCAUUUACCCUUGUAUAUAACAAAACAGUUUUCAAGUUUAUAGUUGCUUUUCUUUUUUCUUUGAGUAUAGGGGACACACCACGUGGCACUGGUUUCAGAUUGUAGUUUGCCUUUAAAUUUACAUGUCGGAGGGGUGCCUGGGUGGCUCAGCAGUUUGAGCAUCUACCUUCAGCUCAAGGUGUAUGUAAUCUCAUGGUCCCGGGAUCGAGUCCCGCAUUGGGCUCCCUGCAUGGAGCUUGAUUCGGUCUCUGUCUCUCAUAAAUGAAUCUUUAAAAAAAAUAUUUUUAAAAAUAAAUUUACAUGUUGGAUCCUGCUGAUGUAAGUUUUAAGUUUGGUCAUCAAAUCUCUUACUGUUAUGGUUUCAUACUUUGAUAUUAUGCUAUAUUUUCCACUGGUUUCUUUGUGCUUUAGUUUUUUGACAUUUGACAUAUUUAUGGCUCUUUAACCUAUCUAGAAGUUUUUUGGGUGUUUGUAUAGUAGGAGGUAAGAAUCUUAAUUAUUUCAAGAUGGCUAGCUGAUUUUCUAAGUACCACUUCCUGAAUAAUGCUUUCUCUGCUAAUCUGAAAUGGUGUGCACUUGUAAGUUAUGGACUAAAUACUUCAAUAUAAUUGAGUCUAUUUCUGAACUUUCUAGUCUUCCACCAAUUUGUCUUUCCUCUGCUACCAGUGUUUCAUUUUGUUAGCUUCAUUGUAUCUGAUUAUAAUGUGUGUUAAUACAAGCCUCUGGCAUUCCUUUUUAAGGUAUUCUGAUUUUUACUGGAAUUGCAUUACAUUUAUCAAUAUAUUAUGAUAUUGAGACUUUGCAUUUAGGAACUGGCCUCCCUGUUCAGGAUAGGAUGACUUUUAUGUCCAUCAGGAAUUUCAGACUUCAUGUGCAAGUUAGGUGCAUUUAUGAAGUUUGCUUCUAGAAAUGUUAUAUUCAGUGUUGUGCUUAGAGCUAUUUUUCCUAUCAAAAUUUCUGAUGAUGGUACCAUGUGUUUAAGACUUUGUUUUGUUUAUAUACUUUCUUAAAUUAUUCAUGAGAGGCACAGGCAGAGGGAAAAGCAGGCUCCUUGCAAGCAGCGUGAUGCAGACCUUGAUCCCAGAUCCUGGGAUCAUGCUCUGAGCAGAAGGCAGACACUCAACCGCUGAGCCACCCAGACAUCCCAGCAGAUAUUUAAAUGUCAACAUUUGCAUAUUUAUUUUAACAGGUAUUCAAAAAUUGGUGAUAAUUACAUAUUUCCUCUUAAAAAUAUUUUUUUCUCUUAAUUGAAAUAUCCCACACAUACUAUAAAAUUCAGGCUUUUGAAGUAUAUAAUUCAGUGGUUUUUAGUAUAUUUACUGUGUUUGCAACCAUCACUACUAUCCAUUUCCAGAAUUUUUCCAUCUUCCCAAACAGAUGUCUGGUACUUAUCAAACAGUAACUUCCCAUCCUGCCUUCCCGCUGGUCCCUGGUAACCUUUAUUCUAGUCUCUAUCUCUAUAAAUUUGCCUGUUCUUGGUCCCCAUUCUAGGUACCUCAUGUAAGUGAAAUCCUAAGGUAUUUGUCUCCAUCUUUGUUCAGUUAGCAUAAUGUUUUCAAGGUUCAUUCAUGCCAGGGCGCAUAACAGUUCCUUUGUGAGGCUGAAUAAUAGCUCAUCGUGUGGCUAGACCACAUUUUGUUUAUCCAGUCAGCAGUUGGACAUUUGGGUUAUUUCCACAUUUUGUGGGAUUAUGAAUAAUGCUGCUAUGAACUUUUUAUGUGAACAUGUUUAAAUUGUCUUCGGUAUGUACCUAGGAGUGGGACUGCUUGCUGGGUCAAAUGAUAACUUUAACUUUUUGAGGAACUGCCAAACUGUUCUCCAGUGUAGCUGCACAUUUUACAUUCCUGCCAGUAACUUUUGAGAGUUCCAGUUUCUCCACAUCUUCAACACUUGUUCUUAUCUGUCUUUUUUUGUGGUUUUUAUGUAAGCUCUAAGCCCAUUGUGGGGCUUGACCUCAUGACCCAGAGUCGCAUACUCUUCCAACUGAGCCAGCGAGGCACCCCUCUGGCUUUUCAAUUGUAACCAUCCUAAUUAGUGUGAAGGAGUAUCUCAUGUAAUUUUGAUUUGCUUUUUUCUGAUGACUAAUGACAUGAAACACCUUUUCAUGUGCUUGUUGACCCUGUGUAGAUCUUUGGAGGAGUAUCUACUGAUCCAUUUGUUCCCUUUUUAUUGGGUGUUUAUCUUAUUGAAUUGUAAAAUUCUUUGCAUAUUUGGGAUACUAGACCCCAAUCAGAUGAUUUGCAAAUAGGUUUUUCCCUUCUGGGGGUUAUGUUUCUACUUUCUUGGUAGUGUUCUUUGACAUAAAUUUAUUUUUUAUUUUAUUUAUUUAUUUAUUUUAUUUUAUUUUAAAGUAACUUGAUUAAGGGGAAAAAAUAGGACUGGCCAUAUUCAGAUGUGGCAAAAAAUCUCCAGGUAUUGUGUGAAUGAUUGAUGUUUGGGAGCAGAGAAUAGAGUGUGACCCAAUCCUGUAGUGUGAUGUGGGAUUACUUACUCUGGUGUGACCUUUCACAUACAGUGUCCCCAAAUGUCGCCUGGUACUUGUGUUGGGAUCAUCUGUCAGUUUUGUUUUGUCUUUUAAGUCUGUAAUAGAUAUGGAAUUUAUUCAACUGUCUUUCCUGCAUCUUUUUAGAUGAGCAUCCAGUUUUUCUCUCACUUUCUCAUGAUUAAUUGCAUCAUGGAAUAUUAAGCCUUCCUAGGAUUUCUGAGACAAACCAUUCCAGGCCUGGAACUUUAUUCUGUCACCACAGAAAUGAAUCAGAAGGUCCACUGCAACUUAAGGGUGCUGUCAGGUAGGUGUUGGUAUCAGGAUGUUCAGAGAGGCAUAGACACCAUUAAGAGUGGUGGCUAAAAAAAAAAAAUGAGUGGUGGCUAAUGGGACGCCUGGGUGGCUCAGUGGUUGAGCAUCUGCCUUCAGCCCAGGGCAUGAUCCUGGGGUCAUGGGAUCAAGUCCCACAUCCGGGACUUGCAUGGAGCCUGCUUCUCUCUCUGCCUGUGUCUCUGUGUCUCUCAUGAAUAAACAAAUUAAAUCUUUUAAAACAAAAAAGAACGGUAGCUAAGAGCAAGCUUUGAGCUGGACCACUGGGUUUCUGGUCCCUGCAUUGCCACUUAUUAGCACAUGACUUUGGCAAAUUUCUUAAAUCCUUGAAGCCAGUUUCCUCAAUAAGAUGGGGACAAAAAUAGAGCUAGAACAUAAGUUGUGGUUUGUGUAAAGCUGGAAUGAGGUUGUGUGGCCCAGGUGCUGGGAGUGAGGGGUGCUGCUGUCACUUGUCCUCUACAGGGCAGACUGAGCGAGUUCCCCCUUCACCCAGAACAGUGUUCUGUAACACCACCUGGGGCUAUCCCUUCUCUUUGGAGAUUCGGUGAUCUCUAAAAACUUUCAGAUUCUUCUGAGUUACAUGCUAGUCCAUAUUUCAUUAUAAGUCAGUUUUUCAAAAUUAAAUUUUCUAAGAAAAUUGCCAUUCUCAUAGGUAUUAGUGGAGAGCAUUUUUUAAAAAGAUUUAUUUAUUCAUUAGACACACAGAGCAAGGGGGGGCCGUGCAGAGACACAGGCAGAGGGAGAAGCAGGUUCCAUGCAGGAAGCCCGAUGUGGGUCUCAGAUCCCAGGCCCCCAGGAUCACACCCCGGGCUGAAGGUGGCACUAAACCACUGAGCCACCCGGAUUGCCCCACAUUUUUUUAAUUAUUUUUGGCAUUUUAAUAUUUUUAUCAAGAAUUUCCACUUUUUAUACCUGGAUUUUAUCUGAAACAGACUUUCAAGAAGCAGAUUUAGAUAGAAUAAGCAGUUCUGCUCUCAUGUUGUAAUUUAUCAGUUCUUCAGCUUUGCUUGGACAUUGUUUUGUUACACUUUUUUUUUUUUUUUUUUUUGAGUCUUGCAUUGCAUGCCGAAUUUCAGGCAACGUACAGUAAUGGAUGGAGGCUGUGGCAGGAAGCAGUCAUUCCUGCUCCAGUCAGGCCACCACCCGCUGUGAUUGUGGACAAGGGCCUCAGAUACCAGGGUGUGGACUCUUUCUAAGGGAGACUACUGAUACCACCUCAGAGGCUGUACAGGUGCCAGUGUAUUUGGUACUUGGAGAUUCCAGGCGGCACAGGCCACCCCUGCUGUGGAGCACUUGAUGUUGGCAGUGCCAAUGGGAACCUACACCCUACCCUGUCCCCAACCUGUCUUCUCCUUUGCAUUUGAAUGAAGUGCCUGUGUGUUGGAAUUUUCAGCUGGUGAAUUUUGAAACUAUUUUUACAUCUCUUUUCUGUUUCCUGCUCAUAUACGUGUUUAUCUCACAGUUGUGAUUGGGAGUUAUUUUGCUUCUUUCGCUUCAGCCUCUGUUACGGGCACAGUUCCCCAUGCUGAAAUAAUCCACCUGUUCUAGUUGAGGCCUGCGGAGGGGGGCAUUCCAGGUUGUGAGCCUGCCCCUGUCCACUUGUAUUUUGUGGCUAUAAAUUACAGGGUCACAGACAUCUUUGGGCAAAUUCGACCUCAAGGCUGCUUUUUGUGUGUAUUUCCCACCGGCCCAAGGGAAGGGGCAGGCAGUUGCCUGGUUCUCUGCUUACUGCUGUGUCCUCUAGGUGGUUCGAAAGGGCCAAUUAUGUGUUCUAUUUACCCUGCCAACAGUUUUUGACUCUGAGUGUGUCAUUUUAACAUUUGCCAGCAUCAUGUUUCCCUGUGUAGACCACUCUGGGUUUUCAAGUACAUAUCUCGAGCGUUUUGUCACUAACAUGUUGAAUUCAUUCUU
Canis lupus familiaris (dog) is the source of this 16279-nucleotide long non-coding RNA. RefSeq lists it as uncharacterized. The transcript is spliced from 2 exons. The record is from RefSeq and is a predicted model, not a curated record. NCBI's taxonomy places the organism in Eukaryota, Metazoa, Chordata, Mammalia, Carnivora, Canidae.